GCUAACGGCUUAGCUGGUUAGAGCAUAGUGCUGACAAUGCCAAGGUUGCAGGUUCGAUCCCUGUAACAGCUGCA
Podarcis lilfordi (Lilford's wall lizard) is the source of this 74-nucleotide non-coding RNA. NCBI's taxonomy places the organism in Eukaryota, Metazoa, Chordata, Lepidosauria, Squamata, Lacertidae. The record is from the annotation of a GenBank genome assembly.